RNAcentral lists this ribosomal RNA (492 nucleotides) under uncultured bacterium. RNAcentral describes it as "partial 16S ribosomal RNA". It matches the Rfam family "Bacterial small subunit ribosomal RNA", at positions 29 to 507 of the family's 1533-position model. The record is from RNAcentral.
AGUGAACGCUGGCGGUAGGCCUAACACAUGCGAGUCGAACGGCAGCACAGUAAGAGCUUGCUCUUACGGGUGGCGAGUGGCGGACGGGUGAGGAAUACAUCGGAAUCUACUUUUUCGUGGGGGAUAACGUAGGGAAACUUACGCUAAUACCGCAUACGACCUACGGGUGAAAGCAGGGGAUCUUCGGACCUUGCGCGAUUGAAUGAGCCGAUGUCGGAUUAGCUAGUUGGCGGGGUAAAGGCCCACCAAGGCGACGAUCCGUAGCUGGUCUGAGAGGAUGAUCAGCCACACUGGAACUGAGACACGGUCCAGACUCCUACGGGAGGCAGCAGUGGGGAAUAUUGGACAAUGGGCGCAAGCCUGAUCCAGCCAUACCGCGUGGGUGAAGAAGGCCUUCGGGUUGUAAAGCCCUUUUGUUGGGAAAGAAAAGCAGCAGGUUAAUACCCCGCUGUUCUGACGGUACCCAAAGAAUAAGCACCGACUAACUUCGUG